CCUACGGGGGGCUGCAGUGAGGAAUAUUGGUCAAUGGACGAGAGUCUGAACCAGCCAAGUAGCGUGAAGGAUGACUGCCCUAUGGGUUGUAAACUUCUUUUAUAGGGGAAUAAAAUGUUCCACGUGUGGGAUUUUGUAUGUACCAUAUGAAUAAGGAUCGGCUAACUCCGUGCCAGCAGCCGCGGUAAUACGGAGGAUCCGAGCGUUAUCCGGAUUGAUUGGGUUUAAAGGGAGCGUAGGUUGAUUGUUAAGUCAGUUGUGAAAGUUUGCGGCUCAACCGUAAAAUUGCAGUUGAAACUGGCAGUCUUGCGUACAGUAGCGGUGGGCGGCUUUCGUGUUGUCGCGG
RNAcentral lists this ribosomal RNA (346 nucleotides) under uncultured bacterium. Its description in RNAcentral is "partial 16S ribosomal RNA". It matches the Rfam family "Bacterial small subunit ribosomal RNA", at positions 338 to 681 of the family's 1533-position model. The record is from RNAcentral.